GGGGAAUAUUGGACAAUGGGCGAAAGCCUGAUCCAGCCAUGCCGCGUGUGUGAAGAAGGCCUUUUGGUUGUAAAGCACUUUAAGCGAGGAGGAGGCUACCGAGAUUAAUACUCUUGGAUAGUGGACGUUACUCGCAGAAUAAGCACCGGCUAACUCUGUGCCAGCAGCCGCGGUAAUACAGAGGGUGUGAGCGUUAAUCGGAUUUACUGGGCGUAAAGCGUGCGUAGGCGGCUUUUAAGUCGGAUGUGAAAUCCCUGAGCUUAACUUAGGAAUUGCAUUCGAUACUGGGAAGCUAGAGUAUGGGAGAGGAUGGUAGAAUUCCAGGUGUAGCGGUGGAAUGCGUAGAGAUCUGGAGGAAUACCGAUGGCGAAGGCAGCCAUCUGGCCUAAUACUGACGCUGAGGUACGAAAGCAUGGGGAGCAAAC
This 425-nucleotide ribosomal RNA is filed under the name uncultured bacterium. RNAcentral describes it as "bacterial SSU rRNA". It matches the Rfam family "Bacterial small subunit ribosomal RNA", at positions 356 to 773 of the family's 1533-position model. The record is from RNAcentral.